GACGAAUGCUGGCUGCGUGCUUAACACAUGCAAGUCGAACGGUGAAGGGGAGCUUGCUCCCCGGAUCAGUGGCGAACGGGUGAGUAACACGUGGGCAACCUGCCCCUCACUCUGGGAUAACUCCGGGAAACCGGGGCUAAUACCGGAUACGACCGGGAGCGACAUCGCUCCUGGUGGAAAGAACUUCGGUGAGGGAUGGGCCCGCGGCCUAUCAGCUAGUUGGUGGGGUAACGGCCAGCCAAGGCGACGACGGGUAGCCGGCCUGAGAGGGGGGCCGGGCACACUGGGACUGAGACACGGCCCAGACUCCUACGGGAGGCAGCAGUGGGGAAUAUUGCGCAAUGGGCGAAAGGCUGACGCAGCGACGCAGCGUGAGGGACGAAGGCCUUCGGGUUGUAAACCUCUUUCAGCGGGGACGAAGCGAAAGUGACGGUACCCGCAGAAGAAGCACCGGCUAACUACGUGCCAGCCGCCGCGGUAA
RNAcentral lists this ribosomal RNA (481 nucleotides) under uncultured bacterium. Its description in RNAcentral is "partial 16S ribosomal RNA". It matches the Rfam family "Bacterial small subunit ribosomal RNA", at positions 28 to 523 of the family's 1533-position model. The record is from RNAcentral.